CGAAAGGAAUUUUCGGAAGAGGUGGAGGAUGAUAUCUUGUUAGUAUCAGAUAACGACAAUAUGUUGGAAAGUGUUAACUUAGUGGAUGAUGGAAUUGCAGGAUUAGAUAGUAUGAUUGAGCCCGAGGUAGGUAUGAAGUUCAGCGAUGAAAAAGAAAUGUUCGAUUUUUACAAAAGAUAUGCAUACAACGUGGGCUUCCCGGUUAGGAAAAGAAACUCGCAAAAGGAUGAUGAAGGAAUUGUGAGAUAUGUGUGUUUACAUGUAGCUGUGAAGGGCGAAUGAGUACUACCACAAGCGGUUCUAUGAAGUCACAAGCUACCAUUUAGACAGGUUGUAAAGCUAAGCUGACUGCAUUUGCAGAUGCAUGCGGAGUAUGGAGAAUUAAUACAGUCAAUCUCAUUCACAAUCAUAAAACUAGCCCUUCGAAGUCCAGGCUGUAUCGUUGCAACCAAGAAUUGAGUGCCCAUAUCAAAAGACGGCUUGAAGUGAACGACAUGGCAGGGAUUCUGUUACAUAAAAGUUAUAACUCCGCAGUUGUAGAAGUAGGGGAGUAUGAGAAAAUGACUUGCAUCGAAAAGGAUUGUCGAAAUUAUGUUGAACAGGUGAGGCGGUUAAGACUUGGAGAAGGAGAUGCCGCAGCAAUACAGGUUUACUUUUCGAACAUGCAAGCAAGGUGCUCAGGUUUUUUCUUUAGUAUGGAUUUGGACGAAAAGUCGCGGAUGAGGAAUAUUUUCUGGGCAGAUAAUAGGAGUAGGCAAGCAUAUAAAGAGUUCGGAGUCGUGGUGACACUCGAUACCACGUACCUAACUAAUAAGUAUGACAUGCCAUUUGCUCCAUUUGUUGGAGUUAAUCAUCAUGGGCAAUCAUACUUUUAAUGGGAAGUUGGAAAUGCAAUGCCUAAUUACAUUCCAAAUGUACCUCGCCCACAUGGACCGAACUUUUAAUGUUAGAUGAAGAAGAAUGAUGGACGGAUAUUCACAAGGUGCUGUUCCAUUCCCAUCUGAUGUUCAUAGGCUAAAGGAGCUUGGCGUUUCUGGGGUUGUCACCUUGAAUGAGUUGUAUGAGACUUUAGUUCCAUCAUCUCUAUAUAAAAAUAUGUCCAGCAGAAGAGUAGAUGCAGUCACCAAAAAGUGACCAUGGCUGGAGGAGUGCUUUUGGUGGUUAAGAAUUUCGAGCUGUUGCCUCCUCCCGGGCAGUCCACCAUUGUGCUAAAGCCAAGAUCCUUUUUAAAUUUGUGUUUUGAAAAAAUAUAAUGAUGUCUAAAUGUGUUCUGGGUAUUUUAUUGUUUUGGCCACAAUUGUAUGAAUAUUUGGAUUUUGUAGUAACUUUCUCUCCUACACUCUUCAUACUUGGUUUGUAGCUACGCCGAAAUUUUAGUUGGCAGAAAGAAAGUUGCUGAGUAAUUGACCAUCAUGGUUGAAUAUUGUAUCAUUAUUCUGACGGCUAAGUGUGAAGAUGACAUUUUGCCAUCCUAAAUGAAUAUUUUACUUAUAUAUCUGUUUGGUGUAGCCACAUAAGAGACAAAUGAGCCCAUUUCUUACAUCAACACGCUGAUCAAUACAAAACUAUGUAGCCAGUUCCGUGUUUCGUAUCCUCCAAGAGU
Molecule: long non-coding RNA, 1603 nt
Organism: Olea europaea var. sylvestris
Lineage: Eukaryota; Viridiplantae; Streptophyta; Magnoliopsida; Lamiales; Oleaceae
Exons: 4
Source: RefSeq, a predicted model, not a curated record